GUUUCUAAACAUCAUGAUGCUCACCGUCUGCUUGUGUUUGUUCAUCGGUGUUUGCCUGGGUGUGGAGGUCCACCAAAGUCCACCACAACUCUUGGUGAAAGUGGGGGAGGAAGCCCAGCUGGUCUGCAGCCAUCAAAGAGGAGACUACAGGGUGAUGCAGUGGUACCAACAGUCCCCGGGAGAGUCGGCGCUCAAACGCAUCGGCCACUUGUCUUAUGAUGAUAAAGAAUAUGAAGACCCUUUUAAAGAUCACUUUCGUUUCGUCGGAGAUCUGAGUGGAAGCUCCAACAAGAAUGCCUCCAUGUUUAUCACAAAAAUAAAGCCAGAGCACAGUGCAGUUUACUACUGUGCAGCGAGCUAUGCACAGCGAUCACAAACGCUCCCUCACACGUUCAAUAACACCCUCCCCUUCUUUAUUGGGGUCGUAUUUGUUGCUUUAUAUCUUCAUCACUUCCGGUUCAAACCAGUUGUUUCUAACAGUCAGUACCAGCGACGACAGUGUCACAUUAGAGGUCGUAGUAAAAUGAUCUCACUCACCUUCUUCAGCUUUUUGACAGGUGCUUGUCUGAGCCUGGAGGUCCGUCAGACUCCUGAAGAAAUCCUCAUAAAACCUGGAGGCCGAGCCGAGAUGGUCUGCCAACACAGCAGAACCGACUACAGACAGAUGCUCUGGUACAAGUACUCCACUGAGAACAACCUCAUGGAUCUGAUUGGAAACCUUUAUAACAGCGAUGCCACAAUGGAGGAGCCGUUAGGUCGAGAUUUUAAAAUAUCAGGAGAUCUCACUGGAAAUACAGCAAAGAAGAGCACUCUGGUUAUAGAAGAUGCCGGACUGAAGCACAGUGCUAUUUACUUCUGUGCAGCCAGAGAAGCACUGUGACAAAAAUCAGCUCUUUACUUCACAAAAACUCUGAGGAAUGUUUAAUUGAGCGCAAAACAGUUUCCGUUACACCUGUGUCUGUGGUUUGUUUUACCAAGUUUUGUCCAUGAUGGGACAGAAAGAGACUAUUUUAAUAAAAAUAUCAAAGAUAGAGGUAAUACCACAAAGUACAAUAUACAAAUUAUGUAUGUGAAAAUAACUCCAAGAAAUGAAAUACUGUGAUGAACAACUAAAAACUCACUUCCUGUCACUGGUCAUGUGACCACAUGGUUUUAAUCUGAAGGCUCGUGCAGCUCUGCAAACACAUCUACAUCAUGAUCGUUCAGACCCUGUGUUUGCUGGUCCUCCUCCACUCUGGUGUGUGAACAUCUGAUCGUCCUCAAGUUCAUGAAGCUAAAAGGUGAAAGAUUGAACUUGUUUUCUGUUCUGCAGGUUUCAGCGUCACUGUUCUCCAGUCACAGGAUCAAACAAACUGUCUCUGGAGACCAAAUGCAGGACCUUGUGGAUGGAAACAACCUAAAGAAGGGAAACAUGGAUUCUACUCUCGAUCGCAGGAAUAAUAUUUGGACUCUUCAGAUCAAUACAGUGACCCUCAAAGACA
Molecule: RNA transcript, 1481 nt
Organism: Synchiropus splendidus (mandarinfish)
Lineage: Eukaryota; Metazoa; Chordata; Actinopteri; Syngnathiformes; Callionymidae
Exons: 4
Source: RefSeq, a predicted model, not a curated record